UACAGAGGGUGCGAGCGUUAAUCGGAAUUACUGGGCGUAAAGUGCACGUAGGCGGCUUGGUAUGUCGGGUGUGAAAUCCCCGGGCUCAACCUGGGAACUGCAUCCGAAACUGCUUUGCUAGAGUAUGGGAGAGGGAAGUGGAAUUUCCGGUGUAGCGGUGAAAUGCGUAGAUAUCGGAAGGAACAUCAGUGGCGAAGGCGACUUCCUGGACCAAUACUGACGCUCAGGUGCGAAAGCGUGGGGAGCAAACAGG
RNAcentral lists this ribosomal RNA (253 nucleotides) under uncultured bacterium. RNAcentral describes it as "partial 16S ribosomal RNA". It matches the Rfam family "Bacterial small subunit ribosomal RNA", at positions 524 to 776 of the family's 1533-position model. The record is from RNAcentral.